GUCGAGCGCUUUCCUUCGGGAAGGAGCGGCGGACGGGUUAGUAACGCGUGGGAAUAUACCCUUCACUAUGGAAUAGCCUCGGGAAACUGAGAGUAAUACCAUAUACGCCCUUCGGGGGAAAGAUUUAUCGGUGAAGGAUUAGCCCGCGUUAGAUUAGAUAGUUGGUGGGGUAAUGGCCUACCAAGUCUACGAUCUAUAGCUGGUUUGAGAGGAUGAUCAGCAACACUGGGACUGAGACACGGCCCAGACUCCUACGGGAGGCAGCAGUGGGGAAUCUUAGACAAUGGGCGCAAGCCUGAUCUAGCCAUGCCGCGUGAGUGAUGAAGGCCUUAGGGUCGUAAAGCUCUUUCGCCAGAGAUGAUAAUGACAGUAUCUGGUAAAGAAACCCCGGCUAACUCCGUGCCAGCAGCCGCGGUAAUACGGAGGGGGUUAGCGUUGUUCGGAAUUACUGGGCGUAAAGCGUACGUAGGCGGAUUAGUCAGUUAGGGGUGAAAUCCCAGGGCUCAACCCUGGAACUGCCCUUAAUACUGCUAGUCUUGAGUUCGAGAGAGGUGAGUGGAAUUCCGAGUGUAGAGGUGAAAUUCGUAGAUAUUCGGAGGAACACCAGUGGCGAAGGCGGCUCACUGGCUCGAUACUGACGCUGAGGUACGAAAGUGUGGGGAGCAAACAGGA
RNAcentral lists this ribosomal RNA (672 nucleotides) under Roseobacter sp. OFEM9. RNAcentral's name for it is "bacterial SSU rRNA". It matches the Rfam family "Bacterial small subunit ribosomal RNA", at positions 61 to 777 of the family's 1533-position model. Lineage: Bacteria; Pseudomonadati; Pseudomonadota; Alphaproteobacteria; Rhodobacterales; Roseobacteraceae. The record is from RNAcentral.